CUCGUAGGCGGUUCGUCGCGUCCGGUGUGAAAGUCCAUCGCCUAACGGUGGAUCCGCGCCGGGUACGGGCGGGCUUGAGUGCGGUAGGGGAGACUGGAAUUCCCGGUGUAACGGUGGAAUGUGUAGAUAUCGGGAAGAACACCAAUGGCGAAGGCAGGUCUCUGGGCCGUCACUGACGCUGAGGAGCGAAAGCGUGGGGAGCGAACA
Molecule: ribosomal RNA, 207 nt
Filed under: uncultured bacterium
Lineage: Bacteria
Description: partial 16S ribosomal RNA
Rfam family: Bacterial small subunit ribosomal RNA
Source: RNAcentral